UUGUCUUUCGCGAAACGACCUAGUCAACCAAUCAAGGACAACCUUCCACGCAUUACCCAGAGUGUUUGGCUUUCUUGUCAUAUUUAUUUAGUCCCUUCCAUGUUCGAGAGGUGCAAGGAAAAACUAGAGAUGAGAGCUGACGUCAAGAUUCAAGGGCGGUGGUUCAGGUUCUCUUUAACUGUAUUACAUCUCGUUUUGAUAAUUGCAUGUAUUUCUGUUGCAGCGCCUCUAAUAGGCUACACCAACUCCUUUUGCAAUGCCACAAUUGGUGAGUGCCAUGAAGAAACUAUGUAUGUGGAAUCCGACGUGUGUUCAAUUCCUCAAUUCAGCAGCCAACAGACGACAUAUAUUUCUUAUGGUAGUUUUGGAAGGCAGCCAAUUUGCAAUGGAAAAAUAUAUGGCAAUUGCUUAAGACCCGCGGGCAGUAACAAGAGUCGGUCUUGCACUUACUACACGAGAUGCAGGGUUGUUGGAUGAUUAUAAGGAAGCCCAGACGUCUGGAGGCAAGGUUUGCAGUUCUAUGUAAUUGUGCUGAGAAUAAAAUUUCCAUUUAUUAAUUUUGUACUCUAUAAUUUGUAAAAGAAGAAAACCAAAAGCGCUUGCUUAGCAGAUGAUGUUCUUCCUGUUUUUUUUUUACCCCUCAUAUAUGAUGUUCCAGUUGUAUUGUUUUCUUUCUCAGAGGUGGAGAAUCAUCGGAGCUAGGAAGGUCAGGUCCCCCAAAAUUGUCGCAGUAAUAAUAAUAAUAAUAAUUUGUGGUAUAUAAAAUUAAUUUUGUUUGAAAUUUAUUCAUUGGCUCCAAAAUAAUUUAUGAUUUAUAUUUUUAAAAAGAAAUAAAUAACAUUAUCCAUAUUUAAUAAUUGUAAAAAUGUAUAGUUUUUGUAUAGAAAAAAUGUCAUUCAAUUAAUUGAAUGGUCAUACUACAUCAACAAUUAAUAAUAAUGAUAUCGGAAAAUUAUGAUUUAACCUUAUAGCAUAAGACAAGUCUCUUGAAACACUUUGGAGGAUUCCUUCUGUACAACUCUUGACGUCUCAAUUUUUUUUUUCUAGAAAAGUUCUACAUCAC
This 1063-nucleotide unclassified non-coding RNA is filed under the name Hevea brasiliensis (rubber tree). The record is from RNAcentral. Lineage: Eukaryota; Viridiplantae; Streptophyta; Magnoliopsida; Malpighiales; Euphorbiaceae.